UGGGGAAUAUUGCACAAUGGGCGAAAGCCUGAUGCAGCGACGCCGCGUGAGGGAUGACGGCCCUCGGGUUGUAAACCUCUUUCAGCAGGGACGAAGCGCAAGUGACGGUACCUGCAGAAGAAGCACCGGCUAACUACGUGCCAGCAGCCGCGGUAAUACGUAGGGUGCAAGCGUUGUCCGGAAUUACUGGGCGUAAAGAGUUCGUAGGCGGUUUGUCGCGUCGUUUGUGAAAACCAGCAGCUCAACUGCUGGCUUGCAGGCGAUACGGGCAGACUUGAGUACUGCAGGGGAGACUGGAAUUCCUGGUGUAGCGGUGAAAUGCGCAGAUAUCAGGAGGAACACCGGUGGCGAAGGCGGGUCUCUGGGCAGUAACUGACGCUGAGGAACGAAAGCGUGGGUAGCGAACAGG
Molecule: ribosomal RNA, 409 nt
Filed under: Actinomycetes bacterium
Lineage: Bacteria; Bacillati; Actinomycetota; Actinomycetes
Description: Actinobacteria bacterium partial 16S ribosomal RNA
Rfam family: Bacterial small subunit ribosomal RNA
Source: RNAcentral